This 1170-nucleotide long non-coding RNA is filed under the name Numida meleagris (helmeted guineafowl). RNAcentral describes it as "lncRNA (ENSNMEG00000009692.1)". Lineage: Eukaryota; Metazoa; Chordata; Aves; Galliformes; Numididae. The record is from RNAcentral.
AUGGCAGCUCGUGGGAGCGGAGCAGCUGAGUGCGCCCCGCUGCCCCCAGGGAGCGGGAGGACAGGGGCAGGACUUUCCUGGUGCCAGGGCUGCGCUGCGCCAUCCCCGCCUGCCGGGGAGCUCCAGGGCUCUGUGCCCAGCUGUGCGUCUUCACCACGCUGUGUCCCUGCAGGACGUGGCGGGGGUGGGGGUGGAGGGGCGCUGAGGUGGGAGAUGCUGGCACAGACCCCAGGGAUGUUGUGCUCUGCCUGCGUGGAGACCUUGCUUGCGUCCGGUGUCCGAGUGGCGUGGAUCUGUUGUAUUUGUGAUGGGAUCAGGCCUCCCGUGCCCCAGUGCCACCAGCCCCGCGUUUCCCUGUGCCGGGGAUGCAGCACGGCCAUGACAUGGGCAGGACCUGGGCAGCACUGGGGCUCCCUGCCCUGCUCCCAGCACAGUGAUCAUGGGCUGCUGGGGCUCGCGUGGCUCUGGGGCUACUGUCCCUGCCCAGCUGCGCCUCGCUCUGCUUGGGCUUGGGGAGAAAUGCCCCUAAGGACCGGAGGAGGAAGAGGCUGCGAUUUUUUCAGCAAAAAAUUUCACUCCUCUAAACACAGUUUAAUGAUUUAUAAGCAAAAUCCCUGUGACCCUCCCCCGGCCCCAUACUAUUGUCAGGUGGGGUUUGGCCCAGGGUGGCCACGGGGUGGGGAGCAGCGGCAUCCCCCACCUUUGGUGCCCGGACGCCUUCCACGGGGAAAGCGUUUCCGCACCUCAGGGCUGGGUUGGUGCUUGGGCUCCUGGCUCCCCCCACGUCCCCACCGUGCCGGUGUGGGGCACGGCAGCCGUGGGGCUUCGCCUGCGCCGGAGCCGUGGGGCCGCGCGGCAGCCGGAGAGGUGGUAUUUGGAACAAGGGCUGCGGCUCAUAGGAAAUCACGUGGCGCGGAGACCUGGGGCUUUACGGGAAGAGAGAUUAGAGAGGCGAGGGGCAGCGCGGGGCUGCUUGGUGCCUGGGGCUGCCGCCCGCAGCGGAGCUGGCUCACGCCGCCUGCUCGCACGCAGCCCGGCCGGGAGCUGGGGGGCUCGGCGGGGCGCGGGGAGGCGCGGGCAGGUGGGGGGCGGGCGCGCCCUCCCCAAAGCAGAUGGUCCCUCCGAAGCGAGCUGCCCCUUCCGCAUCGAUUCCCCGGGCUGGAUGGUUAA